RNAcentral lists this ribosomal RNA (489 nucleotides) under uncultured bacterium. RNAcentral's name for it is "bacterial SSU rRNA". It matches the Rfam family "Bacterial small subunit ribosomal RNA", at positions 29 to 513 of the family's 1533-position model. The record is from RNAcentral.
AACGAACGCUGGCGGCGCGCCUAACACAUGCAAGUCGAACGAGAAGGCGUAGCAAUACGCUUGUAGAGUGGCGAACGGGUGAGUAAUACGUGGGUGACCUACCCUCGAGUGGGGAAUAACCCGCCGAAAGGCGGGCUAAUGCCGCGUACGCUUCCGUCCUCACGGGGACGGAAGGAAAGCUGUACCGUGGGUACGGCGCUCAAGGAUGGGCUCACGUCCUAUCAGCUUGUUGGUAGGGUAACGGCCACCAAGGCUACGACGGGUAGCUGGUCUGAGGGGACGAUCAGCCACACUGGCACUGCGACACGGGCCAGACUCCUACGGGAGGCAGCAGUGAGGAAUAUUGCGCAAUGGGCGAAAGCCUGACGCAGCGACGCCGCGUGGGGAUGAAGGUCUUCGGAUUGUAGACCCCUUUCGGGAGGGAAGAUGGGACGGGCAACCGUUCGGACGGUACCUCCAGAAGCAGCCACGGCUAACUUCGUGCCAGCA